UCCGUCACAGCCGCUGUCCCGCAGGAGCUUCUCUGGCGAGGAAGGGGCAACCCAAAACGCAGCCCAAGGGCUCAGAGCAGGCCCAGAGGAGCAACGCUCUGACACGGGGGGCAGAAUGUUCCAUAAAUGGAAUCGUGCAGCGUAUGACCUUUGGAAAUCAGCUUCUGUCACUUCGCAUAAUGCCCUUGAGAUCCAUCCAAGCCACAGUUGUGUAUACCAACGGUGUAUUCCCUCCUAUUGCUGAGUCAUAUUCCACAGUGUGCAGGCACCAUUGUGGGUCUCACCACUGAAGGACGUUUGCAUUGUUCCCCUCUUCGGUUACUACAGAUAAAGCUGCCGUGGUGGCUCAUGUACAGGCUUUUGUGUGCACACAAGUUCUCAUUUCUCUGGAAUAAAGGCCCAGGAGUACCACUGCUAGAUUA
Suricata suricatta (meerkat) is the source of this 422-nucleotide long non-coding RNA. RefSeq lists it as uncharacterized. The record is from RefSeq and is a predicted model, not a curated record. Lineage: Eukaryota; Metazoa; Chordata; Mammalia; Carnivora; Herpestidae. The transcript is spliced from 2 exons.